CGAAUUUGAUGGGUUGAACAGUAGGUUCGGAAACAGUCGCGAUCAUCACAAAAAUGCGAUUAUGUUGCUUAACUCUAAUAAGGGGGAUAACAGCUAAAAGUUAUCGGUGCAUGCUGGGAAGGAUAAAUGGCGUUCGGGGAAAUGCCAGUAAUUACGGGGAGUUUUGAGACUCUUUCAUGCACCUUCAAACUUCUCCUGUGAUGUGGCACUAAUUCUGAUAUCAGCUGAGGAUUCUGGACGGCCCUUUAAAGAAACCCGGGAGUCUUUGUCCGUCCACCCCGCCGCUCAGAUCCAGCACCUUUAAUGGCCGUCUGUGGCGUCUCUCUCCCUAAACUGGCGCCUAAUUUACUCCCUGACAAGCGCGCGCUUGCACAAACGCACGCGCUCUCUAUCUCUUCCUCUAAUUCUUUCCUUAUCUCUGCGCGAGUCUUGAAUGUACGCAAAUAAUUCAUCUGGAUUUUUCAGCCCUUAUCUGAACUGCAGUCUCCUCAGUGCCAGGACUGUGUUUAGGGAGCACAGAAGAGUGAAAGCCGACCUGCCUGGAACUGAUGUCACCGUCUGGCUCAAGGCUGGCCGCCACUGAAACGCUACUCUGGACAAUGCACAGCACUGCAGAAUCUACCUGGGUCUUCGGUUUCUGUUAGCGGAUAGCUGGAAGACUGCAGGCUGUAAUUCUAGGGAAAGCCCAGCCAAUCAAAUUCUCUCCAUCUGUUUCCGUAACUGCUUAUCCAAUGAAGGAGGCUGGCAAGGCCCAGAGUAUGAGCUUCUGUUUGGGGCAGCAAGGCGAGUCGGAUUCGGGCUGCUGAAGAUCGAUCCCGCAUGCAGGGCUGGGCGGCCUCGGCCUGGGCUGACACUCAUCCCUGGAAAACACCGGAAACUCAUAACUGGGAUGAUGGCCGGAGUUUUUAUUAUGACCUGCUGCUCCCGACAAUCAUCCCGACAACAUCGGCAGACAACCUGAACCAAACACACGUGAAGAGGUGACAAAAAUGGGCCGAUUGGAUCAAAUGUUCCUGAGGAGCAAGAUCGGGAUCCUUCUGGAAACCAAGAGAAUGACGACCUGAUUCCGAAUUCUGGAGAAACCUGUUGUGGCUUUGAUUUCGACCAAAACAACAGCUGCCAGGUUGAAACAUUUAUUGGAAGACUGACUGACAGAGAUGCGGGGCCCAAGGGAGUUUGAACAGUGCAUCUACAAAUUCUCUUCAACAGAGAGGGGACUGAUGACUGCAGAAGUGUAAUGUUAUUGAAUUUGUCCAUAAUAACUCUUUACCUCUAUCUUUUCAGAUGAUUAGUAGCAUUGAUUCCUUGACCAUGCUACACAAUCAUAUAAACAAUAAUCGCAAUGACACACUGAUCGAGGCCAAGUGCAAAAACAUCUGAUCAACACCCAUGGUGGAUCAUUAAUAAUAAAGAAUUUAUUAUACCUGAA
Paramormyrops kingsleyae is the source of this 1429-nucleotide long non-coding RNA. RefSeq lists it as uncharacterized. NCBI's taxonomy places the organism in Eukaryota, Metazoa, Chordata, Actinopteri, Osteoglossiformes, Mormyridae. The record is from RefSeq and is a predicted model, not a curated record.